This 221-nucleotide long non-coding RNA is filed under the name Musa acuminata (dwarf banana). RNAcentral's name for it is "long non-coding RNA (MACU_LNC007180)". Lineage: Eukaryota; Viridiplantae; Streptophyta; Magnoliopsida; Zingiberales; Musaceae. The record is from RNAcentral.
GAAUGACAGGAAGAUUCGGAGGCCAGUAAGAUAAAAAAAAAAAAAAUUAGAGGAAGCACCAAGCUCCGUGGCUCAUUACAAUCGGGACUCAAAAGAAUUAUGCUAUAAGGGACGCAUUGUGCUUGUGACAAAUUCUACUUGCAUCUUCAAGAGCAGAUUUUGGACAAAGUUAUUCCAUAUGCAGGGUACUAAAUUGAAAAGGAGUACGACAUAUCACCCAC